Long non-coding RNA from Passer domesticus (house sparrow), 4724 nucleotides. RefSeq lists it as uncharacterized. The record is from RefSeq and is a predicted model, not a curated record. The transcript has 5 exons. Lineage: Eukaryota; Metazoa; Chordata; Aves; Passeriformes; Passeridae.
AAAUUCCCCUCUCGCUCUGCCCCCUUUGCCUGCUCGUCUCUGGUGGAAGACGGGAGAGGUUGCUGGAUCACCUGGUCGUGUCCAGCUGUCGUCAUGCCCAUGACGACUGCGGUUUAAUUAUAGAAAGUUGUCUUGGCCCAGCUCCAGAAGCCAAGGACUCAGGUCUGCUAACCAAUAAUUUACUUCCCCUACAACUCAGGAGCACUAAGUCUCUGCAACUCCAAACAGCUCUAGGUUGCUCAGACUACUGGACCAAUUCUUUAGACAUGAUAUUCUUGGUCAUCUUGUUCUUUCUUUUUAAGAAACUUCACCUUCUAGGAUAUUUCAGGUAGAAACUUCUGAGCAGAGUCACUCACUGCAAAAUAAUGAGCACGCAAUCCUGAAAAAUGAGAUGCAGUGAUGUUUUAUACAACCAAAAAGGAAGGGAGGAGAAGAAGGAAACACUAAUCACAUCUGGAUGCACCACAGUGUCACUAUUGCACUGAGGAACCCGUGUUGGAAUCUGCUAAACUGUGAACAUCUUCCACUUAAGCUGCUCCUGCAGACACCAGUCAGGUCAGGGCUGUUUCCUUGCUCUGAGACGGAGACAGAAAGCUCCACAUCAGUGAGCUGCACACUCCCCACAGCUGGCAAAGGAACAGGGAGCUCAGGGGGUCCAUGACAGCGUUUGACAAAAGAGCUGGAGAAAGCCACCCCUGCUGUGAACACAGACACCAUUCCUGCUGCAGAAAGUGGAACGCUAGGGCAGGCUUUCUAGGGACACAAGGAUUAGCCGGAACAGAUAAAAAUGGCAGUAACAGAAAAUGAAAUACAAGGCAUUCCUUGCAAAUUUAAUUCUCCUCUUAGUGAUACAUGUCCUUUUCAUUUGCCAGGCUGGCACUGUCACCAAGGUCAAUGCAAAUGUGCUGUCAGCUGCAGGAAAUUGGUGCGAAACUGAGUAUUUCUGAAUGUCCCCAGGAUUUCUGAUGGCCUCUGCAAAAUUGCACUGGGCUUCAUUCUCUUGUCACAAGUCCCACUUAUACAGCUAAAUAAUUUUUUUUUCCAUUUAGGGAAGAGAAGACAUCUCCAUUAAUCUGAUCUGCCCCAACUCCCAACUAACAUAAGCUCUCCCAUACUGUGCUAAGACAGAGGUUUUGCUGGAAUUUUAGAAGGGAUAAGAACAUAACUUCAUUCGUUCUUCCCUCCUAAAAGCACCUCAGCAGCUGAGAUUUUUUCAUCCCUGCAGUCCAACUCUCACCCUAAAUGGAAGAGUUGGGCCAGCCAGAGCAGUACCUAUCCUCCAUCAGUGCUGCGCCAAAAGCUGUGCAGGCAGCUGUGGAACAACAACAAAAAAAAAGGUUCCAGAAGGGAACACUGGUAAAAUAUCACUUCUGAGACCCAUCAGUUCUGUGAAAUGUAAGAACAUUGCUAUUGCAUCUUCUGCCAGCACCACGGCACUGUAGAAAUCCUCCUCUCUGUAGAGAAUGGGUGGGCUCCACCAUCUGUCUCCUGAGCACUGCAGAGAGCACAACAACUCCCUCUGCACAUGCUCUGGCACGCAGCAGCAGCGAGUGAUGUCCCCAGCUCUGGCUCCGAGUGGGCAGAUGCGAGCAAAUAGGAUUUAUCAAUUCAUCACUGUGUUGCUUUUUAGUUUUGCCUUGGUACAACUGCACUGAAUUCCACCGAGCUAAGCUGGAGUAAUACCUCAGGGAACCUGCUGCUCCUUCUCCCACCCACACUCAUACAGGCCCCACUCCAACCACAGCUUUCACCCCAUGGACAGGUUGGUUUGGCAAGCAAACUCUUUUAAGAAUGAGUCAUUGUCAGAACAGACAGCUUGAGGAAAGUUUCUUUCUAGUGAAGCCACCUCUGAACUGGACUGGGGAACCAGAGCAUCAAAAACCAGUGAUAACACUCAUUACCCUGAGAAUGAUUUUUAUUCCCAGAACUCAUUUCAUCUCCUAGCAGAGGGCAGGAAGUGUCACUUGUAGUUAUUGAAUGGGGCAAGCAUGGCAAACAACAGGAUCCAUGCUCCCCAUCUCCCAGACAGGCUGUUCCAUUGACUUAUGGACACUGCCAUUAUUUCUGAAAUCCAGCAUUCAGCCAGGUCAAAGGAGAUGAGAACUGGUCACCAGGUUGUCUUCUCUCCAUCAAACCCAUCCCAAUGUAAUGGGAGUGGAGGAUGUCAGAGAUGUCACAUCUACCAAAGCUGCCAACUCUUCCCUUAGCAACCCUGACAGUUGCCAGGAAACGAUGCCUUGCUGUUACUACGGUGACACAGGGUUCCAAAGCCACAUGCCACACAACACCCACCUGCCAGGGAAGGGGAGAAAUGCUCACCCUGGCUCUCCCAUCACUUCACAGGUCAAUGGAGCACAAUGGAAAAUCAUAUAGUGAAACCAUGUUGGGCUCUUCAUGGACUGGCAAUGAAAGUGAGGUCCAUCUCUGUGAACUUCAGGCAUUUGAUAUGGCCGUCCUAACCUCCAGAGGUAAUGAACAGAACCAGAGACUUCCAGGAUGCACCACAUCUCCAUCAGAAUGGGGACAGCUCCCUACACCAGCCUCCAGAAGCCUUCCCUGGAAGGGAAAGAAGACUGACCCCUUCUGACCCCCUUCUGAAAUGUGGCUUUGAAAGCUGGAUGUCAAAUCCUCCCCCUUCCUGCCAAAUAGAGACAUUUUCAGAAGUCAGUUUCAAUUUCCCAACUCUUGCAUGUGUUUAUCCUGCUCACAGGAUGAUAUUUAGCUCCCCAUAUUUCUUCCCGUCUCAUUGGCCUGUCAUCCAAGGGUGUGAUUAGUUCAUCAAAAGAAUGAAUGGCAGUCCAACCUGCCUGAAGAGAGGUUAUGAAAAAUAGAGUCCUUGCUAACAAGAGCAGGAGGACAAGGGUCACGUAUUGGUAGAGGUGAUGAAAGGUCCUGCAGGUCUAUUCAGUGUGGCUGUUGCUAUGAGUGUGAAGAGAUUUGCUGGCUCUGAAGCAGGGAGAGGACACAGAUGUUGUUUUGUUCCGUAUCAGUUACAGAUUCUGGUCACUUGUGUAAGUUAAUACUCUCCCAACUUCUUUUAUGCUCAUUACAGCUCUUCUUCUGUUACAACUUGGCAGCACAGUUCUGCCUCUCUUUCCACAGAGAGAACACACUGCCUUCUGCCCCUAACAGGCACAUGGGGGCAAAGGGUAGAUUUUAAUCUCUGAUCUGCACUGGUGGUUCUAGCUCAGGUUUGUUAUCUGUGUGGAAGAGAAAGACAACAAUCUCAGGAGUGCUCUCCCAUUCAGAGCCAGUGUAAGGCUCUGUUUGUGCUAAUGAGAAAAUAUCUUUGCACCACUGUUCUCAACAGGGCCAUCUCCAGCCAUUUUCUGCUGAAAACAAUAAUGUGUAAAUAGGGAAGGAAAUAAGGACUUGAUUCUCUCCAUCCAGGUGAAAUAAUAAUAUAAUAACUAUAAAACAGGCUAGUUCCUGGUGCUCUCUUUCAAAAGUUUCCUCCCACCACAAUUAGACAUUGGGUGUUGUUUUUCAGGGCAACAGCACCACAAUCAUUGCCCAGAGCAUUGCUUCAGAAAUUAAUUCUGUCUCAGGGAUGAUGACAGGUUUUGAGAUAGCCAAGCAAACAGCAUGCUGAAGUACUGCCCAUACUGGGCAGUGCUGUGAGUGCCAUAUUAAACACAUGUUUAAUUGGUUGUGAUGAAGGGGAAAUAGUAGAAGCACACAUUCUGCCUCCCUGAAAGUUCCUGAAGCACUCAAGAGCUACAUCCAGUAGUACAAGACAGAAGCCACCACUCUAAGGGCAUAUGGAAGGUGAGGGCCUCUGCUUCUUUAUCAACUCAAGAACCCUUUCACUUCCAAGAGAAUAUUAAAUGAAGGAGAAAUUUGUAAACAAGAACAUGCAGAGGACCAAGCCAGGUGCACAGGAGAGAGAGGGGCACUGGGAAAGAACAAAAGCCAUGCACUGAUGGAACCACCAAAGAUCAUCAGGCACAGCUUUGGAGAAGAAUUUGUAACUGCUAAGAAGGAGAAAACAAGAGGAACAGGACAACUGAGGAUAUUUGAGGUGGGCCUGAGAGACUGAACUUAAGGAACAUUUAGUGGGCCAGGGCAAAACAAGAGAGAAGUUAAAGAUAGGACAUGAAAGGGUAUAAAGAAGGGUCAGCCAAAUGUAACCCCUCACUGAUCAGUGUAUUUGGCUGAACAAGCCUGCACCCAGUCACUACAGUGCAUCCUACGUUUUUAUAAAAGCCACUUAAAAUGGUAUUUUAAAGUGUUUUAAAACCUUCUGCUGUCUUUCUGUACAAUUUCACAGUCUGUCCCAUGUGUGGGAAUGCUCUAAGGACAAGGUGCCAGCUACUGGGGACAGGAACUGACACAAACCAAAUAGAAAGCAUUUUGGAAAGGUUAAAUAGGGUGAAAUGUCUCUUUGUUUUCUAACCUCAAAUCUACUUUUUCGCAAGUCAAAUUUCCCAUCAAUUUUUUUUUUUUUCAAAUGCUCUCAUGUGACAAUUGCUGAAGCAACUCUCAACAAAUUUACGUGCUUAAAUACAAAAUGUUUCAAGUUGUAAAGACUGUAUUUAAGGAGAAAACAGAUGAUCUUUUGGGUCAACCCUAGGCAGCAGAUGUUGUUUUCUAUAAGAUGGUCUGUAUAUAUUCUAUAGAUAUAAGUGCAGACACACUAAGGUAGCAUCUAAAAAAAAACCAAAAAAAACCCAAAUCUGAACAAAACAGAAAAUUAUAAUAAAGGUAAUAUCACAUUCUAAAUU